UAUCUCAAAUUCUGAUCUAAUCAUUCAAACUCUGAAUGGUUUGAAAUCUGAAUAUAAUCAUGUAAUUGUCAAACUAUCUGAUCAAACUACACUCAGUUGGGUUGAUCUACAUGCUCAAUUGCUAACCUUUGAGA
This 134-nucleotide small nucleolar RNA is filed under the name Lupinus angustifolius (narrow-leaved blue lupine). RNAcentral's name for it is "Small nucleolar RNA Z247". It matches the Rfam family "Small nucleolar RNA Z247". Rfam says of the family: Z247 is a member of the C/D class of snoRNA which contain the C (UGAUGA) and D (CUGA) box motifs. Most of the members of the box C/D family function in directing site-specific 2'-O-methylation of substrate RNAs. Lineage: Eukaryota; Viridiplantae; Streptophyta; Magnoliopsida; Fabales; Fabaceae. The record is from Rfam by way of RNAcentral.